AUUCCUAUUUCCAUGCACAUCGUUGUGCCCGCCUCAUCUGCGUGUGAUCGUCUGUGGUCAUUUAGACGCGCUUUGCACAGGCAUCCGCAGCAAAACGUGAGACGAAUGGAGCAAGAGAUGGCCACCUUGUAGGCAUUCGGCGGGAAGAUAUCCUAAGAACUAUCCGCUACGCAGCUACGAGGUGCGUCUUUUCUUCUCGACGGUAGAGUAUGGACGGCAGAAAAUAUUCGUCUUUGACAUCUUUACCUCCUGGGCGGAAAGUCCCACAAACCGGACGAGUCUGGGGGGCAAGUGGCCGGCGCGACCGCCCUAACCAGUGCAGCUAUAACGUUAAUGACACGGGCGGUUCGGACGCAACUUUCCGUGGACGACGCGAGGGGCGCCUCAUCGCCCAGGCUACGUCCUGGUCGCUGUUGCUCUUGAACGCGUCGUUCCACGCUGGUGGCGCUCAGACUGUCCGAGUCUGGAGGGACUACGAGCCCCAGUUCCGUGUCGGGUUUACAACGCUUGGAGCGGGCGCUUGCAAACAAGCCGCGGAACCUUGCUGGCUUUCAGCGGCACCCGCAGCGGUGGCAUACCGAAACGUUGCAGCGAGCGUCUUGGAGAUGCGCCGUACCCAGCAAGUCUACAGUUCGAUCUAGCUUGUGCUGUUUUCAGGGACAUGCUGUCCUAUGGAGUGCCGUACGCUGCACUGUAUGCGGAACAACCGAGGCCUCUAUCUUCUGUAACAUCGAAUCAUGCAACGCGAUGAUCGCUCAGCAUUUGCCCGAGCGGAUCAUCCUCGGAGCACGUCCAUAGCGCUCUGGCCUUGAUGGAUUGCUGACUCGUACCACGCGAGUGGCUUGUUCCAGGCGAGAAUCCAAUACCCCUUCUGCAGGCCAUUCAUCGUUAUUCAUCGCAAGCCGUCAGUUUUCCAGCGCAAUGCGCAUGCAGUAAGUACGAAACGAUUCCAUACAAAAUCCACGCGACAUAGCCGCCGAGCGCUUUGAAAGCAAGCGACUUUUCCGAAUGUUCAUCCGGGUAUGUAACGCUCGAUGCCGCAGGUGUUUGCUCGCAUUGCUGCUGGUGCGAUUACGCUGUCAUAAGCCUCUGACGUUCAAUUCCAUUGCCAUCUGACGUUCGUUCAGCUUACCGAACACCAUCUCGCGUUUCCAUCUCCAGUUUAUUCCUUUCAUCUCUAACUGGUCCAACGCCCGCCCGCACUCGUGAUGCGUUUAUGUCGUCCUGAGCAAGUCGAUGGGAAUCGAGCAGCACCUAUACCUGUUUUCGUUGCACGUGCUCGUCUCUCCCGCAAGAAGCGUUCGCGUUUGUGAACAAAAUGAACAGCAAAGGGCACAGAGAGCUCGAGUUCGAGCACUCCAUGCACUGAUGCGUUUCAUCAGAGGUAAGAAACGCAUGGAGUUCGUGAACCGAGACUUUAACGCUGCUAUCAAUAGCAGACGAUUUGCAGUGCUGAAGACGAAACCCGAGGACUGACGCGAACUAACUUGGUGGAGCAACCUCUCAGCUUCGAAGUGGACAAGGAGAAGCUGAGGUCGAUAGCAGGAUGCCGGUCAAAAAAAACCUGGGACGCGUCUCUAAGUGGAUAGAUAUAUUUGUACCCUGCACGGCCGUGGGACAGUUUCUGGUUCACUGCAUGCAAAAAUGUGCAGCAGCGUCUGGACAUUUCGAAGCCAUCACUAAAUCGCACGCCGAGAUUCACAACGCUGACUUUUAGCUCCGCUGCACGUCCUUGACGUAGGACCCUAAACCGGAACGC
This is an RNA transcript of Cyanidioschyzon merolae strain 10D, 1759 nucleotides long. RefSeq lists it as hypothetical. Lineage: Eukaryota; Rhodophyta; Bangiophyceae; Cyanidiales; Cyanidiaceae. The transcript has a single exon. The record is from RefSeq and is a predicted model, not a curated record.